This 401-nucleotide ribosomal RNA is filed under the name uncultured bacterium. RNAcentral describes it as "bacterial SSU rRNA". It matches the Rfam family "Bacterial small subunit ribosomal RNA", at positions 60 to 509 of the family's 1533-position model. The record is from RNAcentral.
AGUCGAGCGCACCUUCGGGUGAGCGGCGGACGGGUGAGUAACGCGUGGGAACGUGCCCUUUGGUUCGGAACAACACAGGGAAACUUGUGCUAAUACCGAAUGUGCCCUUCGGGGGAAAGAUUUAUCGCCUUUGGAGCGGCCCGCGUUGGAUUAGCUAGUUGGUGGGGUAAAGGCCCCCCAAGGCGACAAUCCAUAUCUGGUCUGAGAGGAUGAUCACCCACACUGGGACUGAGACACGGCCCACACUCCUACGGGAGGCAGCAGUAGGGAAUCUUGCGCAAUGGGCGAAAGCCUGACGCACCCAUGCCGCGUGAAUGAUGAAGGUCUUAGGAUUGUAAAAUUCUUUCACCGGGGAGGAUAAUGACGGUCCCCGGAAAAAAAGCCCCGGCUAAUUUCGUGCC